RNAcentral lists this transfer RNA (58 nucleotides) under Rattus norvegicus (Norway rat). It matches the Rfam family "tRNA", at positions 8 to 63 of the family's 71-position model. From Rfam's summary of the family: Transfer RNA (tRNA) molecules are approximately 80 nucleotides in length. Their secondary structure includes four short double-helical elements and three loops (D, anti-codon, and T loops). Lineage: Eukaryota; Metazoa; Chordata; Mammalia; Rodentia; Muridae. The record is from Rfam by way of RNAcentral.
UAGCUCAGUGGUUAAGAGCACUGGUUGCUCUUCCAGGGGUCCUGGGUUCAAUUCCCAG